AAAUUGAAGAGUUUGAUCAUGGCUCAGAUUGAACGCUGGCGGCAGGCCUAACACAUGCAAGUCGAGCGGC
RNAcentral lists this ribosomal RNA (70 nucleotides) under Yersinia enterocolitica. Its description in RNAcentral is "partial 16S ribosomal RNA". It matches the Rfam family "Bacterial small subunit ribosomal RNA", at positions 1 to 70 of the family's 1533-position model. RNAcentral also lists the same sequence under 6 other names. The record is from RNAcentral. Lineage: Bacteria; Pseudomonadati; Pseudomonadota; Gammaproteobacteria; Enterobacterales; Yersiniaceae.